This is a non-coding RNA of Urocitellus parryii (Arctic ground squirrel), 2010 nucleotides long. Lineage: Eukaryota; Metazoa; Chordata; Mammalia; Rodentia; Sciuridae. The record is from RefSeq and is a predicted model, not a curated record.
CUAACGUUUUUGCGCAUGCUCCGGGCGCCAGCUUCUAGUACUUUCGCUGCGUCUGCGAACUUCCUCCCACAGUUGGCGUCCGGACGUCGGAGGUGAAGGUUGCAGUCUUAGGAAUUCCAGAAGACCUAGGAAAACCACCUUCAGCCUCCCGAGCUUGGAGAGGGAGCCGUCCGUUGGGCCUUUCUCUCCGUCCUGCUAGGUGUUGACGGCCAGCGAGGCCGUGAGCUUGCGGAGGCGCGCGCUCCACUGAAGGAACCCUGGCCSCAGGCGCCAUGUCCAACUACGUGAACGACAUGUGGCCCGGCUCGCCGCAGAAGGACUCCCCCGCGACCUCGCGGUCGGGCCGCUCCAGCCGCCUGUCGUCGCGGUCGCGGAGCCGCUCCUCGUCCGGGAGCUCCCGGUCCGACACGCGCCGCUCCAGCCCCGCGUCCUCCAGGAGCCGCAGCCGGCCCCGCAGGCGCAGCAGGUCGCGCUCUCGCUCCCGGAGGCGCCACCAGCGCAAGUACCGGCGCUACUCCCGGUCCUACUCGCGGAGCCGCUCGCGCUCCCGCGGCCGCCGGUACCGGGAGAGGCGCUACGGGCCGCCGCGGCGGUCUCACCGCUCGCCUUCGCCCUACCGGUCGCGGAGCAGGUCGCGCUCCCGUGGAAGGUCGUGUUACAGAAGGUCGUACUACGCCAUCACCCGGGGGCGGCGCUACUACGGCUUCGGCCGCACCGUUUACCCCGAGGAGCACAGCAGGUGGCGGGAGAGAUCCCGGACCCGGUCGCGCAGCAGGACCCCGUUUCGUUUAACCGAAAAAGAUCGAAUGGAGCUGUUAGAAAUAGCAAAAGCCAAUGCAGCAAAAGCUUUAGGAACAACCAACUUUGACCUGCCAGCUAGUCUGAGAACUGUUCUCUCAGCUAAAGAAACAAGCCAUGGAGCAGAUGUACCACGUAAUGGUGUAAAGUCUGAGGUAAGUAUUCUAAGUACCAGCUUUCUUCCUAAAGCUACUUACUGCCAGAAAGAUCUGAAAAGCCAUUUCAUUUAUUUAUUCUGGGCUACACUUCUUGGGAAGUCUAGCUAUGAAAAAUUUGCCAAUAACAAAAUAGAUCCAUGAUGCUAGACAGUAUCAACACUCAUGAAAUUGGGAGAUAAUGAAUUUUAUUUUGAAUAUAUUGUUACUGGUACUGAUUUCUGUAUCAAGUUUGCCCUACUCGGUCUUUAUAGACAAGUGUCUUUAUUUUUCUCCUGUAGCUUUCAUUUGCAGGAUUAUGUUCCCACAUAUCUGUGCUCAGCAUACAGUAUAGUUUAUCUGCUUUAUUUCUGUCUUAUAGAAAUCAUGAAUGUGGUCUCCAGACAAUGAUGAAGAAAAUCUGUUGAUGUUUUGAGAGAUUGCAGAAGAGGAGUCCUGCUUCACUUGCAGAUAAGUUUAUUAUAAUUCUCYAGAAAUAUGCAGGAAGUGUGUUGGCAAAUUACACUGUACUUCUAAGUUAAAUGUGAAAAUCUAAAGUUUAAAAUUGAUAAAUGAUAUAAGGUAGAAAUUGAUAGAAUAAAUCUAUCAUUAGGAUCCAGGUGUGGUUUUGUUCAGUGUUAGUAGACAAGUAAGGUCUUAGUUGAGUCAUGUAUUGAUUAGGUACCCAACUGGCAAAUGUCUUAUUAGUUCCUUGAAACUAGUUAUUUCUGGUAUGUCUUGACAUUUAAAAGUUACUUGGAUUUGUGGCAGGGAAAGAAAAUAUUGUUGGCAAAAUGUGCCUUUUAAUCUACUGCUGUAUAUUCCAGUUUGCUAAGUGGAAAGUUUUAUCUUGUUUAGGCUGUUAACUAUAUGGUGUUAGAUUCAACUUGAUUUGUGUGUCUACAACAAAAUUUGUAAUAUAUACAACUAGGCUUUUUAUACAGUUAUUUWAAAAACCAAGGAUGGGUUUUUUUGAAAUGUCUUUCUCUUACCUGUCUAGAUGUCGGAAAGGUUAACAGAAGAUGGAACUAAAAAUCCCAGUGAAAAAUCUUCCCAGCAGAAAAACAUAGCUUUUAGC